UGGCGGCAUGGCUAAAACAUGCAAGUCGAACGCGAACGGGGCUUCGGCCCUUAGUAGAGUGGCGAAAGGGCGAGUAAUGCAUACUUUACGUACCUCCAGGUGCGGGAUAGCUCGGGGAAACCCGUGGUAAUACCGCAUAAUCCGGGAAAGCAUCAAAGGCUUGCCGCCUUGGGAGCGGGGAACGUCCUAUCAGGUUGUUGGUGAGGUAAUGGCUCACCAAGCCAUAGACGGGUAGCGGGUGUGAGAGCAUGACCCGCCGCAUCGGGACUGAGACACUGCCCGGACUCCUACGGGAGGCUGCAGUAACGAAUCUUCCGCAAUGCGCGAAAGCGUGACGGAGCAAUGCCGCGUGCAGGAUGAAGCAUUUCGGUGUGUAAACUUCUGUCAGGGUCUAGGAACAAUGACCAGACUCAAAGGAAGGGCCGGCUAACUUCGUGCCAGCAGCCGCGGUAAUACGAAGGGCCGGACCGUUAAUCGGAAUCAUUGGGCUUAAAGGGUGCGCCGGCGGACCCGCAAGUAUCUUGUGAAAUCCCACGGCUUAACCGUGGAAUUGCUUGGUAAACCGCGUGUCUUGAGCACGACAGGGGCGGUCGGAACGAUAGGUGGAGCGGUGAUAUGCUUAGAUAUCUAUCGGAACGCCAAAGGAGAAGACAGGCCACUGGGCCUGUGUUGACGCUCAGGCACGAAAGCGUGGGUAGCGAACGGGAUUAGAUACCCCGGUAGUCCACGCCCUAAACGAUGUGUACUAGAUCGAGGAGGUUUUGACGCCAUCUCGGUCGUAGCAAAAGUAUUAAGUACACCGCCUGGGGAGUACGGUCGCAAGGCUAAAACUCAAAGGAAUUGACGGGGGCUCACACAAGCGGUGGAGCAUGUGGCUUAAUUCGAAGCAACGCGAAGAACCUUAUCCAGGGCUUGACAUGUAUGGAUUAUUGAUCCGAAAGGGGGUUCGACGCUCUCCUGAGUGGAACAUACACAGGUGCUGCAUGGCUGUCGUCAGCUCGUUCUGUGAAGUGUCGGGUUAAGUCCCUUAACGAGCGAAACCCCUCUCACUAGUUGCCAUCAGGUUAUGAUGGCAACUAGUGAGACUGCCGGCGUCAAGCCGGAGGAAGGUGGGGAUGACGUCAAGUCCUCAUGGCCUUUAUGCCCUGGGCUGCACACGUGCUACAAUGGUAUCGACAGAGCGAAGCAAGACCGCGAGGUGGAGCAAAUCGCACAAACGAUGCCUCAGUUCGGAUUGUAGUCUGCAACUCGACUACAUGAAGUUGGAAUCGCUAGUAAUCGCGUAUCAGCAACGACGCGGUGAAUAAGUUCCUGAGCCUUGUACACACCGCCCGUCACGUCAUGGGAGCCGGGAGCACCCGAAGUAGCCACAACUCAGUGGUUCCUACGGUGAGCUCGGUGACGGACGAAGUCGU
Molecule: ribosomal RNA, 1415 nt
Filed under: uncultured prokaryote
Description: partial 16S ribosomal RNA
Rfam family: Bacterial small subunit ribosomal RNA
Source: RNAcentral